Molecule: ribosomal RNA, 358 nt
Filed under: uncultured bacterium
Lineage: Bacteria
Description: bacterial SSU rRNA
Rfam family: Bacterial small subunit ribosomal RNA
Source: RNAcentral
UGGCCUUGACAUGCAAGUAGUAGGAACCUGAAAGGGUAACGAGGUAGCAAUACCAGCUUGCACAGGUGCUGCAUGGCUGUCGUCAGCUCGUGUCGUGAGAUGUUGGGUUAAGUCCCGCAACGAGCGCAACCCUUGUGUCCUGUUGCCACCUGAACGAGAGUUCGGAGCACUCUGGACAGAUUGCCUCAUUUAAAUGAGGAGGAAGGUGGGGAUGACGUCAAGUCAGUAUGGCCCUUACGGCCAGGGCUGCACACGUACUACAAUGCCUGGUACAACGGGAAGCAAGACCGCAAGGUGGAGCAAAUCUCUAAAAACCAGGCCCAGUUCGGAUUGUCGUCUGCAACUCGACGGCAUGAAG